Molecule: long non-coding RNA, 337 nt
Organism: Haliotis rufescens (red abalone)
Lineage: Eukaryota; Metazoa; Mollusca; Gastropoda; Lepetellida; Haliotidae
Exons: 3
Source: RefSeq, a predicted model, not a curated record
CGUGUUAUUGUGUCAGAUUAGCAGGAACACUUGUCAGAAUGGGUCGUCUUGCUGCCUUUCUCUUUGUCUGCAUACUCGCAGCUCCUGUUUUGUGCCAGCUGAUCACGCCUUUCCAAGUCUGCGAGAUGAAAUGUUUGGAUGACCAAAACGCAACAUGGCCGAACCAUGCUACGGCGGAGAUUAACGAACACUGCCGGACAUAUUGUCUUGGACACUGGCAAGACCUACUCUUCGGGAACCAAGGCACCGUGGGAUAGACGUCCACAAUAGUACUUCACAGGCACUGACUUAUACGAUGACAAGAUUUUAAAAAUACAGUUUUUGAACAAAACGUCAA